Molecule: long non-coding RNA, 551 nt
Organism: Macrosteles quadrilineatus (aster leafhopper)
Lineage: Eukaryota; Metazoa; Arthropoda; Insecta; Hemiptera; Cicadellidae
Exons: 3
Source: RefSeq, a predicted model, not a curated record
UGCUUCCUUUACCAACCAAUGAUUAGGCCUAACUAAUCUUGAUACAUAUUUAGGCCAGAGAAAGGUAUGCAUGAAUUUAACUAAAAGUAGUUUUCUCUCCAUUGUUUCAGUUGAUAACUCUGCAGCUUUGGUGGAAGUUAUUAUUUGGUAGCAGUGAAUAAUUUGCCUACGGUACCAAUUCUCCCGAGUGACAAAGUGGCUGUUUAGCAGCCUGUAGGCUGGGAAGGAGGAAUAAAUUUUUCUUUUGCAAUCUGCAUCUGAAGCCAGCUAUCUUGCAGGCAGAACCGGUACGCAAGAACACUAGGAUCGUGGUGUAAUGGAAAUAUAUGUUGUUGCUACUAUAAUCAAGAAUUGGGGUCGCCCAGCAAAGUUUAGUAUUGAUGCAAGGAACAAUAGAAAACUCAAGAAGGCCAUUUGGGAGAUGAAGAAGACCAGAAUUAUUUUUUUUGUAAAUUGUACAUAUCUUUUUUAUAUUUGUGUUUAAAUAAUUUUUAAUUAAACUUAUUUUAUCAUACAAACAAACUUUUUUCUUUAAAAUGUUUUCCUUGAAU